UACGAAGGGUGCAAGCGUUACUCGGAAUUACUGGGCGUAAAGCGUGCGUAGGUGGUUUGUUAAGUCUGUUGUGAAAGCCCCGGGCUCAACCUGGGAAUGGCAAUGGAUACUGGCAAGCUAGAGUGCGGUAGAGGGUAGUGGAAUUCCCGGUGUAGCGGUGAAAUGCGUAGAGAUCGGAAGGAACACCAGUGGCGAAGGCGGCUACCUGGACCAGCACUGACACUGAGGCACGAAAGCGUGGGGAGCAAACAGG
RNAcentral lists this ribosomal RNA (253 nucleotides) under uncultured bacterium. RNAcentral describes it as "partial 16S ribosomal RNA". It matches the Rfam family "Bacterial small subunit ribosomal RNA", at positions 524 to 776 of the family's 1533-position model. The record is from RNAcentral.